This 385-nucleotide ribosomal RNA is filed under the name uncultured Lactobacillus sp. RNAcentral describes it as "bacterial SSU rRNA". It matches the Rfam family "Bacterial small subunit ribosomal RNA", at positions 162 to 524 of the family's 1533-position model. Lineage: Bacteria; Bacillati; Bacillota; Bacilli; Lactobacillales; Lactobacillaceae. The record is from RNAcentral.
GCUAAUACCCGGAUAACAACACUAGACGCAUGUCUAGAGUUUAAAAGAUGGGUUCUGCUAUCACUCUUGGGAUGGGACCCUGCGGUGCAUUAGCUAGUUGGUAAGGUAACGGGCUUACCAAGGCAAUGAUGCAUAGCCCGAGUUGAGAGACUGAUCGGGCCACAUUGGGGACUGAGACACGGGCCCAAAACUCCUACGGGGAGGGCAGCAGUAGGGAAUCUUCCACAAUGGACGCAAGUCUGAUGGAGCAACGCCGCGUGAGUGAAGAAGGGUUUCGGCUCGUAAAGCUCUGUUGUAGUGAAGAAAGAUAGAGGUAGUAACUGGCCUUUAUUUGACGGUAAUUACUUAGAAGUCACGGCUAACUACGUGCCAGCAGCCGCGUAAU